AAAGAAAAGAAGAAAAAAAAAUCAAAA
RNAcentral lists this small RNA (27 nucleotides) under Arabidopsis thaliana (thale cress). RNAcentral describes it as "ATSL024380". Lineage: Eukaryota; Viridiplantae; Streptophyta; Magnoliopsida; Brassicales; Brassicaceae. The record is from RNAcentral.